Molecule: long non-coding RNA, 3284 nt
Filed under: Nothobranchius furzeri (turquoise killifish)
Lineage: Eukaryota; Metazoa; Chordata; Actinopteri; Cyprinodontiformes; Nothobranchiidae
Description: lncRNA (ENSNFUG00015015470.1)
Source: RNAcentral
UUGCCUUUGUGCACAAAAUAAUGCAGAGACAAUACUUCCUCAUAUGAUAUUUUACAACUCCCAAGUUUUUUUUACAUGAAUUUUGUCCUUGGUUUCAGUCCUCACAAUAAAAUAUUUGUACAUUCCUGAGAUUAAACCCUUCUGUUUCCCUCUUUAUUGCCAGGUGUAUGAAGCCUCCACUGAAUGGAAUACAGCAACUUUUCUAAUUGUUUUUCAUAAUUCCCCCAAAACACACGUCCUCCCAAAAAAUUAGAUAAACUUCAUUAGUGUAUCCAAAGUUAUUCACAAAACACACCUGUCUGCGCAAAAUAAAAUCACUAUUGACAUAUAAAGGUUAGUUAUUUUAUAUAAUUUAGUUGAAAAUGUUAUUUUCUAUUGGCCAUUGGCUUUCUAUUCUGCUUUGGGCGGCCACAACGCACUUUUUUGACCCCUUUGGAACGCGCUUUUUUGACCCCUUUGGCUUGCCAUAGUUAUAAUCGACGGUGCAGCGUCCAGACGUGCGUUCACGCCGCAGCGGCGUCGUUUUCCGUUCAGGCUGCUGCUGCCGCUCCACGGUCGGAAUGUGACAGAGGUGCGGCAGAAAUUCCACCGACUCAGAACCUCGUCCUGGACCGAGCCAGAAGCCGGACCUCCUGGGUUGAAUUUAAGCGACAUGAUGGUUCCACAUGGAUACAGGACUGGUGCAACAAAAACAAAGAACUUUUGAAUCACAGUUGUCGUUAAGUGUGUGUGUGUGUGUGUGUGUGUGUGUGUGUGUGUGUGUGUGUGUGUGAUUUUAGUUUUUUAAGCAUUUUAGUAUUUAUCAUCCACAUGUGUGAGCAAAUUUUGUUGUACAAGUUGUAACGACAAUAAAGGUGAAUUUGAUUUUACCAACAAAAAAUAAGACCUGUCACAUUCAAAUAUGUCUAUGCUUUAUUUUUGUGUUUUACUUUGUUUUAUGAAUAUAAGAAAAUAAGAAUGAUGUACACAUGCUAAUAAAAAAAUAAGUAGAAAAUAUUUGUUUUGAUACACUCCUUCGUUAUCUGAAUUUUGCUAAGUAUUAUUGGGAUUCGUGGUAAUGGUUUUUGUAUUUCAAAUGAUAAAAUUAUAGUACCAUUACAUUUUUCUAUAUCUAUUUGUGUUUGUAAUAACUUAUAUUAAUCUGAAAAUGUUUUAGUUUUUUUAUUUUUAAUAUGUAUUCGAAUUUUCCUAACAAUACGUAUUUAUUGCACUCUGGUUUCAUUAUUUAUUUUUAAGUAUCCAAGUAAAAUGUGUACAAGUUUUGCCUAAACCGAUUAUGUCACCGACGUCAACUGGAUUUUUCUGAUCACGCUUUUAUUUUGAAGGACAAUCCGGUGUAUUUCCGCUGUUUGGCGACCAUUUAAUCCUUUACUACAGUGNAACUUUUGAAUCACAGUUGUCGGUGUGUGUGUGUGUGUGUGUGUGUGUGUGUGUGUGUGUGUGUGUGUGUGUGUGAUUUUACUUUUUUAAGCAUUUUAGUAUUUAUCAUCCACAGAGCAUAGCAAAUUUUGUUGUACAAGUUGUAACGACAAUAAAGGUGAAUUUGAUUUUACCAACAAAAAAUAAGACCUGUCACAUUCAAAUAUGUCUAUGCUUUAUUUUUGUGUUUUACUUUGUUUUAUGAAUAUAAGAAAAUAAGAAUGAUGUACACAUGCUAAUAAAAAAAUAAGUAGAAAAUAUUUGUUUUGAUACACUCCUUCGUUAUCUGAAUUUUGCUAAGUAUUAUUGGGAUUCGUGGUAAUGGUUUUUGUAUUUCAAAUGAUAAAAUUAUAGUACCAUUACAUUUUUCUAUAUCUAUUUGUGUUUGUAAUAACUUAUAUUAAUCUGAAAAUGUUUUAGUUUUUUUAUUUUUAAUAUGUAUUCGAAUUUUCCUAACAAUACGUAUUUAUUGCACUCUGGUUUCAUUAUUUAUUUUUAAGUAUCCAAGUAAAAUGUGUACAAGUUUUGCCUAAACCGAUUAUGUCACCGACGUCAACUGGAUUUUUCUGAUCACGCUUUUAUUUUGAAGGACAAUCCGGUGUAUUUCCGCUGUUUGGCGACCAUUUAAUCCUUUACUACAGUGUUUCGUGUCCGCGGCUUCCUGUUUAUUGUCACUGCUGGCCGGUGAAUUUCACGGUUAACGACGGUUAACUGAACGUAUUACCGACCCUCCAGCGCGCAGAACCUCGGUGAGUUUCCUAAUCCCGCCUCGUUAGCGGCCCUCCGCUUUAUUUUGAUAGUUACUGGUGCGGGGACAGAGGCUCGUUCUGCUUCCUCAUCUCUGGCUGCCAGCCGGGCCGAUCCCCGGAACUCCUGCAACAAAAAGUCUAUUUUACAACUCAGCCCCGUACGACCCAGAAACAGAUCUUCCAGACCAAGAUGGGGACUUUUUUCGAAAGAGGUCGAUGUUUAAAUAAUUUCGGCGUUCAAACAUUAGAUUUUAAAUUUGUGUAUGAAGCAGAACUUGGCCGUUAGUGACGGAUGCCCGGCUGGCAGCCGCCCUCUGCGGGUUCUGGCUGAGAUACCGUGUUCAUAUUGAUCAUUAACCUAACGAUGGCUGGUGGGACCGGGUGUUUUCAUCUGCGCCAAAACAAAACCGAGACUUCGUGUGUCGGGUUCUGGGCGGGCCUGAACAUAUCAGACUGGUGAACGGAGUUGUCAAAGCUGAGCAUCCGGCGGGUUUUAGUUGACGGCUCAAAACGUCUAGGGUCACGUGACCAUGCGAAGAAAGGGUCACCCGCAUCCAUCACUUGCAUGACGUGGAGUUGACUGCCAGUUAUGUAAAGCUACGCGGGCUCGGUUCUUUGAAGGGGUCCCAGAGAGCUCAUCCGGCCCGGUCAGCACCUCCAGGGUCCCCCAGGUUCUGGUUUAGUCGCGUUAGUGGGUCUCUGGCCCCUCUAGGUGAGCUGGGCCACACCUGCAGCUAGAGGUGAAUCACAGCUGCUGAACUAGUUCCAGAUGUUAGGACCAUUCUAGAUCACACGAACCAGACCAGUGAAACCAGUCGUAGCACCACAGUUCUACUGGUUUAGUCAGGGUUGAGUUUUCACCAGUUUGCUGUCAGUAAUCAAUAAACACAUAAAUAAUGUAAUCGUUUACAAAGCACGAGGAAUUUUAAAGCACCAGGGAUGUCGUUAUCACUGCGGGCUUAAUCCGAUCAUUUAAGAGUAAAUAUUUAUCAUUAAGCCUCAGUUUCAUAUUUGUGUGAUGUUGCUUUUUGUUUUUUCACCUGUUGACUAUGGCCCGUUCAUUACAUUAUAAACAAGUAAAUAGAUAUUAAAGAAUAUUGCUGCUGGUAAAAUCAC